AUGCAGUGUCAUACAGCACGCGCCGUGGGCGGGAACGGGGGGCUUGUCCGGGCAGCCUGAAACCGGCAGUUUCCCGCCUCGCGAGUGCGCGCGACGCCCGCCUGGCGCUUUGGGCGAGCGCGGUGUCUCGCUUAGCCAAGCCGGGGAGCCAGACGCUGGGUCCCGCGCUCCUCAGAGGUCGCCCGCGCGGGCCAGCCACGGCGUCGGCUCCGCCCGCGGGCCGCUGCCUCCUGUGCUGAGGGGACUGGUAGCAGUAUAAGUAUCCCCAGUGAGAGAAGUCAGAAUGACAGCCACCACCUUUAUAAAAUGCUUCAAGACCUAUUCAGUGUGAAGACAGUCUGUAGCUCAUUCGGAAACCUCCUCUUCGUCCAGGUUUCCAAAUCUCUCUUCUCCUUUCCACUGUGUUGUUACGACCUGCUGUCUAACCAAGGAGAGCUGGAAGAAAUUGCCAUGUUUACAAUCUGUCAACUCUACUCCUAGGUUUUCAAAGUUCACAAGAACGGAGAACGAAACAAUGCUAGCCGAAGCAGAUGAUGUUCCAGCAGUGGCCACUCCAGAGGGUGUCUGAGCCGGUCCCCUAUGGAUA
Long non-coding RNA from Chrysemys picta bellii (western painted turtle), 586 nucleotides. RefSeq lists it as uncharacterized. The record is from RefSeq and is a predicted model, not a curated record. Lineage: Eukaryota; Metazoa; Chordata; Testudines; Emydidae.